Unclassified non-coding RNA from Macaca fascicularis (crab-eating macaque), 148 nucleotides. It matches the Rfam family "Metazoan signal recognition particle RNA". From Rfam's summary of the family: The signal recognition particle (SRP) is a universally conserved ribonucleoprotein. It is involved in the co-translational targeting of proteins to membranes. The record is from Ensembl. NCBI's taxonomy places the organism in Eukaryota, Metazoa, Chordata, Mammalia, Primates, Cercopithecidae.
GCUGGGUGUGGUGGCGCGCGUCUGUAAUCCCAGCUACUCAGGAGGCUGAGGCAGGAGAAUCGCUUGAACCCAGGAGGUGGAGGUUGCAGUGAGCCAAGAUUGCGCCACUGCACUCCAGCCUGGGUGACAGAGUGAGAUUCCGUCUCAA